AGGAAUAAACGAACAAUUGAGCAAGCAUUCAUUAAGCGCCUACCAUGUGCCCUGGGAACUAGUGUAUCGUGUUGGUAGUGUAUCGAGUCGCUCCAGUUACUAGGCUUCCAUUCCGAUGAUGACUUCAUUCUCCGAGCCUUCUCCUGUACUCCUGCUGAACUCAAGCAAGAUUUAUAGAGCAGUACAAGGGAUACAACUGAGUAAGAGUUUAAGUGGAGCCUCUCCUGCCCAAGUCUUCUGGCCUUGAACCACUUAUCAGGAGCUAACACUUACACAAGAAACAGCCUGUUUAGGAAGAAUGUGCCUUCUUCCACUGCUACAAUUCAAUAAAACCAAUACAUCAUGAUACAUCAGAGGAUCUCUCUGCCAAGGGAAAAUCAUGGGAAAGAGGAAAGAGCGAAGAUGUUGAACUCUGGUGCCUUGCAACAGGAAGCUGAGCAUCAUUAAUGGCAUCAUUAUUAUCAUUAUCAUUCUUACCCAUUGUGGGAUCAUUAGACUCAGAGCAUAGAUUUGGACUUGAAAAGGGACCUUGCUAGAACAACCACCUCUUUUACAGAUGAGGCCUGGAGGGUGGCUUGCCUGUGGUCAUUGGGUCACACGGUUCUAAGUGUAAGUGUAAGCUCUGGGAUCUGACUCAAAAUCGAGUGUUCUUUUUGUCAUAAUUAAUUACUAUUGGUAGUUCUUUAAAAGUAUUUUAAGAAAAAAUCCAGUGUUAAGCACAUUAAUUUAGGCUAUCAGGAUCUCUAUUUUUGUGUGUGUUAAAUUGAUGCAUUUGUGUUGUUUUUAUGCACAAUAAGGUGCCAGAAUUCAUUCAAUAGUUGGAGCAAGAAAGAACGAGGAUUCCUGAAUCAUACAAAAAUUCAGUUUCAUUUGUUCACAAUAGAUGAAUAAAACAACUAACAAACUUUCAGAUUAUAUAAAUCUUUACCUUGAAAAAACGUAACCAAGGAAAAACCCAAAAAUUUUUUUUUAAAAUGUGCCUUUUUAAUCCCUUGCAUAUUGUUGUUUUAGAUAUUGUUAAGAAUACACUGGAAGUCCUGACAAAGACUAUUUUUUAAAUUAGCACAGACAGGAAAUAUUGCAGUAUGAUAUUGUUAUCAUCUGGCACACUCCCUCUUUGGUAGGGGCCAUGGGGGGACAAAAAGAAUAAUAUGCUAGAUAAGGCAUUUGAUGACAUCAGUUCUAACUUUCUGCCACAGAUGUCUUAGUCUAGAUUAGUCAUAAAACAGGCAGUUCCAAAAUAUUCUAUAAAUGAUCAAUAUAAAUUCGAGUUAAAAUACUUAAACACUAGUGGUUUUCUCAUGUUUUUGUAAAAGGCUAUAUGACUCUGGGAAUAUCUUAACAUCUCUAGACUUCAGUUUUCCCACCUUUAAAAUGAGGGGGUUGAAUCAGAUGAUUUCUAAGGUCUCUUCCAGCUCUAAAAUUGUUUGAUUAUAUGAAUUCUCACCCAUUGUGGGAUCACCAAGUAUGAAAAAACUUCCUGAGACAGGAGCUUACCACUUACAUGUAAAGUUAGGGAUGCUGAUAGAAAAUGAUGCAGCAGCAUCAUUCAUUAAUGUUUAUUAAGGACCCUAUAACAAGUAUACUAUAACAAAUAUUAUGGGCUUCCUUUUCUCUCCUUAAUUUCAUGCAUGUUAAUUAAUUUUAGCCAGGUUUAGUCAAUAAAAAGCUUUAUGGUAUGGCUUAACAUGUUGCUAGUUUCACGUAUUUGAAACUGACAUUUUCUAUAGGAAUGGCAAUAGUUUUUAUAUUUUAAUAUGGUUUACUACGUGGGGUAUCUAGGUGGCACAGUAGAU
Long non-coding RNA from Phascolarctos cinereus (koala), 1796 nucleotides. RefSeq lists it as uncharacterized. Lineage: Eukaryota; Metazoa; Chordata; Mammalia; Diprotodontia; Phascolarctidae. The record is from RefSeq and is a predicted model, not a curated record.